This 1389-nucleotide ribosomal RNA is filed under the name uncultured bacterium. RNAcentral's name for it is "bacterial SSU rRNA". It matches the Rfam family "Bacterial small subunit ribosomal RNA". The record is from RNAcentral.
GAGUUUGAUUCCUGGCUCAGGACGAACGCUGGCGGCGUGCUUAACACAUGCAAGUCGAACGAUGAAGCCUAGCUUGCUAGGUGGAUUAGUGGCGAACGGGUGAGUAAUACGUGAGUGACCUACCUUUGACUCUGGGAUAAGCCUGGGAAACUGGGUCUAAUACCGGAUACGACCAAUCUCCGCAUGGGGUGUUGGUGGAAAGCGUUAUGGAGUGGUUUUAGAUGGGCUCACGGCCUAUCAGCUUGUUGGUGAGGUAAUGGCUUACCAAGGCGACGACGGGUAGCCGGCCUGAGAGGGUGACCGGCCACACUGGGACUGAGACACGGCCCAGACUCCUACGGGAGGCAGCAGUGGGGAAUAUUGCACAAUGGGCGCAAGCCUGAUGCAGCGACGCCGCGUGAGGGAUGACGGCCUUCGGGUUGUAAACCUCUGUUAGCAUCGAAGAAGCGAAAGUGACGGUAGGUGCAGAGAAAGCGCCGGCUAACUACGUGCCAGCAGCCGCGGUAAUACGUAGGGCGCGAGCGUUGUCCGGAAUUAUUGGGCGUAAAGAGCUUGUAGGCGGUUGGUCGCGUCUGCUGUGAAAGGCUGGGGCUUAACCCUGGUUUUGCAGUGGGUACGGGCUAACUAGAGUGCAGUAGGGGAGACUGGAAUUCCUGGUGUAGCGGUGGAAUGCGCAGAUAUCAGGAGGAACACCGAUGGCGAAGGCAGGUCUCUGGGCUGUAACUGACGCUGAGAAGCGAAAGCAUGGGGAGCGAACAGGAUUAGAUACCCUGGUAGUCCAUGCCGUAGACGUUGGGCACUAGGUGUGGGGGACAUUCCACGUUUUCCGCGCCGUAGCUAACGCAUUAAGUGCCCCGCCUGGGGAGUACGGCCGCAAGGCUAAAACUCAAAGAAAUUGACGGGGGCCCGCACAAGCGGCGGAGCAUGCGGGUUAAUUCGAUGCAACGCGAAGAACCUUACCAAGGCUUGACAUAUACUGGGACUGCGUCAGAGAUGGCGUUUUCCCUUUCGGGGGCUGGUAUACAGGUGGUGCAUGGUUGUCGUCAGCUCGUGUCGUGAGAUGUGGGUUAGUCCCCGCAACGAGCGCAAACCCUCGUUUCUAUGUUGCCAGCACGUGAUGGUGGGGACUCAUAGGAGACUGCCGGGGUCAACUCGGAGGAAGGUGGGGACGACGUCAAAUCAUCAUGCCCCUUAUGUCUUGGGCUUCACGCAUGCUACAAUGGCCGGUACAGAGGGUUGCGAUACUGUGAGGUGGAGCUAAUCCCUAAAAGCCGGUCUCAGUUCGGAUUGGGGUCUGCAACUCGACCCCAUGAAGUCGGAGUCGCUAGUAAUCGCAGAUCAGCAACGCUGCGGUGAAUACGUUCCCGGGCCUUGUACACACCGCCCGUC